CAGUAGCCGCGGGAAAACGUAGGUGGCAAGCGUUGUCCGGAAUUAUUGGGCGUAAAGGGCUCGCAGGCGGUUCCUUAAGUCUGAUGUGAAAGCCCCCGGCUCAACCGGGGAGGGUCAUUGGAAACUGGGAAACUUGAGUGCAGAAGAGGAGAGUGGAAUUCCACGUGUAGCGGUGAAAUGCGUAGAGAUGUGGAGGAACACCAGUGGCGAAGGCGACUCUCUGGUCUGUAACUGACGCUGAGGAGCGAAAGCGUGGGGAGCGAACAGGAUUAGAUACCCCUGUAGUCCCUGUCUCUUAUAA
This 301-nucleotide ribosomal RNA is filed under the name uncultured bacterium. RNAcentral describes it as "partial 16S ribosomal RNA". It matches the Rfam family "Bacterial small subunit ribosomal RNA", at positions 509 to 809 of the family's 1533-position model. The record is from RNAcentral.